Long non-coding RNA from Olea europaea var. sylvestris, 2816 nucleotides. RefSeq lists it as uncharacterized. Lineage: Eukaryota; Viridiplantae; Streptophyta; Magnoliopsida; Lamiales; Oleaceae. The record is from RefSeq and is a predicted model, not a curated record. The transcript has 2 exons.
AUAAGUACCCCGUGUCUUUCUACUUCCUAACCAUUCCCUCUCCUCUUCUCAACACACGCACACACAGCCUCAACCACUUCCACCGCCAAGAAUCCUGCUGCCACCGUCGAGGUUUCCUUCUCCACCGUUGCCGGCACCACCUCCUAUGCCGAGAACCAUAGCAAAUCUGCGGCAUCUCUGGCCGUUGUCGCAAGCAGUCCUUCUGCGACAACCACAACCUUGACCCACCUUCUUCCCCAAUUAUUGCUUUUUGUUUUGCGUUUUUUUACCCUUCCCCAAUUCUCUCGCUCUACUAGAUCUGAUCUCAAAGAAGCUAGAGGUAAGUGAAAAACCCCAAGUCCAGAUCUCUCUUACGAUUACUCUAGUGUAUAUAUGCUUUUGAUGAUUUGGUAUAGUUGCUUUAUUGUAUUGUGAUUUGAAUAUGUAUCUUUGUGGAAUACAAUAGUUUCUUAAUAGGUUUUUCUCCAGCAAAUGAACUGAAUUUCAAUUUAUGGCUGCAAAAGCAUGUGGUAAAAUUGUAAAGAAUUAAAUUUCAUAGGAUUCAUUGUGUUCAGCGAUCUGUUCCUUUUGGUAUUGUUGCUUUUGAUUUGGCUUUUCCACCUUUUUUCUCCAAGAUGGUGGUUUAGGUUGGAGGAAUAAUGGAGCUCGUUUGAUGGGUUUAAAUUCGUUUUGCCUGUGAGUAUGAUACAAGUUGGAUUUGUGUGAUAAAAGUGGCGAAUAUAACUAUGUUAUAUGGAGUGCACAUCCGAAAGAGUUAUGGCAUGUUUGGGAUGGUGGACUAGACUGCCGAAUCAUUAUUAAUUGAAAAAAAAAAGUUGUUAAAAUCUUACUGAUCGCAGUGACAAGUCCUGUUUAGUACCACAAAAAUUUAUCCUAAUGAUUGAGUAGACAUUUUAUGCACUAGCAGCAUGAAUUCUUUGUUGACACAAAAAAACCUCCUAGUCUGCCAUGUUGCACUACUUCAUGUGUUAGAUAGGAGGGUAGUACAUGUGGCACACUUUUAUCUGCACUUCAAGUAUUCGUUGGCUUUUGUCUGUUUUUGCAUUUGAAUUUUUGAAAAGUAAAUGGAGAGAGCUCGGCAUAGGAAGUCCAAGAGUGCUACAAGCAUUGAAGGUAAAAAAAUUCCAUCUCUCGUUCUAUGACUAUAUAUUUUGAUAGAAUAUUUUUUGAAUGGUUAAGCACUUUGGUCUUUUGUGAAGAGAAAUUUUGUUUUGGUAAGAAAAGGGAAGAGGUUUAGGAGAGUUUUAAUUAAAUAAUUGUGUUUGCUACUUUCACGACAUUGCCAAAAUUUAAUGGAAUUAUUCAUUUUAUUUUCCAAAUAUCCUUCUUGUGAGAUUUUUUUUUUUUGUCAUUGAAUAAUCUGUUUAUUCAUUAAGCAAUAAAAAAAGAAUCUUUGUUGAGCUGUUUAAUUUCUGUUUCUUUUUGUUGUUAAAUGUAAAGAUUAUAAUUGACAUGAGUUAAUUAUAGGUGUUGAGCAUGCUUUUGCUAAAGUAAGUGUUUUCUCAAGUGGGAUUAAAUAGGGACCUCUUUUUUCUAUUUUUUGUAAUGGUAUGAUGGUAUCAGCAUUAUUUUGUUCCCUUUUCCUUAUAGAGCUUUCUUCUUAUGAUAAAUUAUCAUAAUUGGGCCAAGUCCUUCAGGAAAACCUACGCUAGUUUUAUUCACAUUUUCCUUUAAAUUCUAUUUAAGCGCAUCGUACAGUUUUCCCAAUUUUUAAAAUGAUUCCUUCAACAUAUAGUUUGUAAUUUUAGACUCAUGGAAUACAUUAGCUGCUACAUUCGUAUUUAACUUGAUUUGAUCUCGGGAGAUGUGGCUGUUAGAAAAAUGUAAAAUUGGCGUUCAAAACUACCAAUUAGAAGAAAUAUGUGUUGGAGAGAAAAUAAUUAAAGUUUGUCCCACGUAGAAAAAUUUACAAGACACCGACUAGUUUAUAUAUGACCACGCUUUAGAAAAGUGUAAUCAAGUAGCAUAAAAUUCACUCUACUGUGCUCCCACUAGGGUGUAAAUUAUUAACUUGAUUAGCACCUUAUGCCAUUGUAGUUAUGCGCAAGUGCGAUUAGCGUAUACAAAUGUCGGAUCGAAAUUGACUACUUAUAAGGAUUUGUAUUUUGCCUUUAUUUUGUAGUUUUUUUUAUUGUUUUUUUUCCUUUCAACUGACUUUCUUGCUGCUAAAACUCUUGUGUUUAUUGCAUAUAUUAACGAAAAGAUUAUACAGUUAGAUUAUGAUGGUGUUAAUGGUUGUAACACAUUUAAUUGUCGAUUGUUAAGUUACUCAUUACAACCUUUUAUUAUGUAGGUCAGUUUUCUCCUUUGCUCCACACACAAAAAUUCCAAUCUUCUUUAUAGUUCCUUUCUAACUAGAAUGUUUCGUUAUAUUAUGAAAGACAGACACUCAAACAAAACCUCAAGCACUUACGAUAAGGGAAAGAGUCUAUUUAAAAGGUGUCCCAGCUUAGCCGGACUAAAUCCUGGACCUCUAGCCCCCGGCCCCUCAGUGACUAGUGGAGGUAAAUCGCAGGUUGUGCCCUUGUUGGUUCCCAGAUUCCCACAUGACUUUUACUCCUUCCCCAAAGGAACCCUCCUCCAUGGUUAUUACAUCACCAAGCUGCUCCAACCCUUCCUCUGAUUAUUACAUCACUUGGCUGCUCCAACCAGGAAUCGAACUCCCCACACUUGGUUCCAGAGCCCCCCAAUGUGAUUGUUCCGCCAAUUUGGAUGUACCCUGGGGGGCGUUGACAAGAGUUAUGUUUGUGGUUGGUUGUUUAUGCUCAAUAUAAUGGUCAGCAAGUUGAAAUGAAUAAAAGUAAUUCAUUUGCUUC